Molecule: long non-coding RNA, 3572 nt
Filed under: Homo sapiens (human)
Lineage: Eukaryota; Metazoa; Chordata; Mammalia; Primates; Hominidae
Description: ADIPOQ antisense RNA 1 (ADIPOQ-AS1)
Source: RNAcentral
AGUGAUUCUCCUGCCUCAGCCUCCUGAGUAGCUGGGAUUACAGGCGCCAGCCACCAUGCCCGGCUAGUUUUUGUGUUUUUAGUAGAGACGGGAUUUCACCAUGUUGCCCAGGCUGGUCUCAAACUCCUGAUCUCAGGCUCAAGCUACCUUCUUGAUGAAAAAUUCUGGACGUGUUCUGAAAAUCACAGUCAUCCCUAACUUCAGUGGAAAAGAUUCAUAUUGUCCAGCUGAACAAGGAUUGAUACUUAAAACCAGGGAUUUCCUAAAAUGAAAAUGUUUCUGUGGAUAAAACUGAUUACAUGCAGAGACUGGAAUGGAGUUAAUUCUGGGUAGAUAUGGGAUUCAAGAGAUUGGUCUUCAUGAGGCAUUUAUCAAGGAUCUGCAAGGGAUUUAGAGGUGACGGAAGCACAGUCCUUCCUGGGCAGUUGCCUCUAGCCUGGUGGGAGGUGUUCCUCACACCCAGGACUCUCAUCCAUGGCAAAAUAAAAAGUGAGAUAUCGACUGGGCAUGGUGGCUCAUGCCUGUAAUCCCAGCACUUUGGGAGGUCGAGGCGGGUGGAUCACCUAGGCCAGGAGUUCGAGACCAGCCUGGCCAACAUGACGAAACCCCAUUUCUACUAAAAAUACAAAAAUUAGCCAUGUGUGGUGGAAUGCACCUGAAGUCUCAGCUACUCGGGAGGCUGAGGCACAAUAAUUGCUUGGACCCAGGAGAAGGAGGCUGCAGUGAGCCGAGGUCGUGUCACUGUACUCCAGCCUGGGUGACAGAGUGAGACUCCAUCUCAAAAAAAAAAAAAGUGGAUAUCACAUCAGAGAAGCUCCUGGCCAGGUGGCCUUGAGGAACAGGGAUGAGUUCGGCACUUAGAGAUGGAGUUGGCUUUCCCCGUUGGAGGGAAAGGCAUGAGAAGGGACAUAGGUAAGAGGAAGUAGAGUAGUGCAGGGGCCAUUGAGUAGUAGUCCUUCCAAGACAGGACGUCAUCAUAGAACCACUUUCUCUGAGGAAGCUCUGCUUGGGGGAGGUUUUAAUUCAUGAGGAAGGCAAAUUCAAUGGCUCUCAGGUGAGGUGGGAAACAGACACCUACCAACACUCCAAAGAGAACAUGUACCUCUAUAAAAGGGCACAGUCUAGUGAACAAAGUCCACAGCUCUGGGUUUGAUUUCUAGCACUGUCACUUAAUACUGUGUGACCUUAGACAUUCACUUAACUCUCUCAGCCUCAGGAUACAAUCUGUAAAAACAGGAGAAUGCUUGUUCCCUGUGCCUUAUAGGAUUGAUAUGAGCAUCAGGAGAGACAGUGGGCACAAAAUAGCACUGUCAACUACUUCUUUCUAGUCAGUUAUCUGGUCAUGUUUGUGAAGCUCCCCAGGACUGGGAACAUAGCAUAUGAUUUUUUUAAAGUUACUCGAUGAAUGAAUGAAUAAAUGAAUGAGUAAAUGAAUGAAUAAUAUCUAAAGGCCUCCAACUAAAUAAUAAUCAACUUCCUAACCGUACUGAAAGCCUUUAAUUGACUUUGGGGCUGUUUGGCCUGGAGGAGGCUCUGAGUUAGUGGUGAUCAGUUGGUGUCAUGGUAGAGAAGAAAGCCUGUGAAGGUGGAGUCAUUGUCAUUAUCAGCAUAGAGUCCAUUACGCUCUCCUUCCCCAUACACCUGGAGCCAGACUUGGUCGCCCACCUCCAGAUGCAGGAGCACAGAGCCGGAGGCCUGGUCCACAUUAUUUUCCUGGUACUGAUCAUAGGUGAAGAGCAUAGCCUUGUCCUUCUUGAAGAGGCUGACCUUCACAUCCUUCAUAUAGACUGUGAUGUGGUAGGCAAAGUAGUACAGCCCAGGAAUGUUGCAGUGGAAUUUACCAGUGGAGCCAUCAUAGUGGUUUUGCUGAUUGUAGAAGAUCUUGGUAAAGCGAAUGGGCAUGUUGGGGAUAGUAACGUAAGUCUCCAAUCCCACACUGAAUGCUGAGCGGUAUACAUAGGCACCUUCUCCAGGUUCUCCUUUCCUGCCUUGGAUUCCCGGAAAGCCUCGGGGACCUUCAGCCCCGGGUACUCCGGUUUCACCGAUGUCUCCCUUAGGACCAAUAAGACCUAAGGAAUGAGAAGACCUCAGUGACUACAAAGAACAGAACUCCUGCCUAGGAUGUCUCUCCUCCUCUAUUCUGCCUACCCAUCAUUCAAGGCCUAGCUGAAGCUCUGCCUCCUCCUUGAAGCCUUCAUUCUUCAUCAGGUCCACGGGGUGCCAUCUCUGCCAUCACGGCCUGGGGCCCCAUUAUGGCCCGGAUGCCCUGGGAUGCCCGCCAUCCAACCUGUGCAGGCCCCCUUGGGCAGGGGAAGCAGGACUCCGGGCCCUUGAGUCGUGGUUUCCUGGUCAUGACCGGGCAGAGCUAAUAGCAGUAGAACAGCUCCCAGCAACAGCAUCCUGAGCCCUGGAAUCCACAUGUGCACUGUCAGCCAUGGAGAGACAGACCCCACACACACACCCAGUUGGGACCUACAAAGGACUCCGUCCAUCUCAGCAGAGUCUACUUCUAGGAGCUGCUUUCUAAGUAUUCAACUUUUCCAGGAAGACUUUUCUGAAUAUUGCAGCCCACCUUGAUCUCUUUCUGCCCUGAAAUCUGUAAUACUUAGCAUUAUUCCCUGUGUGUAGUCUCCUUUCCUCACCAAGAUUAUGAAUUCAGUGAUUGCACAGAUGACACUCCUCUAAUUUUCCCAUGUCUGAGCACAGGACCAAGCACAGGGAAAGCUCCAAGAGUCGACUUGCCAAGAAUCCAUCCUUGGGUUUCCCAAGUACGAUGACACAGAUUGCUCCAUUCAAUGCUAACCAGCUUCUCUCCUCUGGCUCCUUUCUUCUUUUUCUUUCCCCCCUUCUCUCUCAUUUUCUGUGUCUAUUCCUCCUUCUUACUCUCUCAUUCUCUUUCUUCCUCUACCCCUCUCCUGGGGCACAUGUUUGACUAUUGGGUAUAUUACAUUUGCACACAUGCACACACACAAACACACACAGAGAAAAAGAGAGAGAGAGGGAGGGAGAGACUCACCUUGUGUUAAGCAGACAACGAGAGACACAUCAUCCCAUGAACAUAUCCCCUGGCCCUUUGUUUGCCUGAGCCAUCUUUAGCUGCCCCUCCUCCCCUGUCUAAUCUCUAUUCAGCUUUCAGGACCCAGUUUGGAUGUCAUCUGUUUCAAGAAGUCCUCCUUGUUCUCCAUCUCACUCCUUGGCUGGUUCUUUCCCCUCUGUGUUUCUCCAGUGCCCUGGUAAUAUGGUUUGGGUCUGUGUCCCCACCCAAAUAGCACGUCGACAUGUGUUGGAGAAGGGGCCUGGUAGGAGGUGACUGAAUCAUGGAGGCAGACUUAUCCCUUGCUGUUCUCAUGAUAGUAGGUGAAUUCUCACAAGAUCUGGUUGAAAGUGUGUAGCACUUCCCCUAUAUUCUCUCUCUCUCUCUUUCUCUCUCUCUCUCCUGCUGCUGUGUGAUGUGCUUGCUUCCCCUUCGCUCUUUCUUCCACCAUGAUUGUAAGUUUUCUGAGGCCUCCCCAGCCAUGCUUCCUGUACAGCCUGUGGAACUGUGAGUCAAUUAAACCUCUUUUCUUUAUAAA